CCUACGGGUGGCUGCAGUCGAGAAUCAUUCACAAUGGGGGAAACCCUGAUGGUGCGACGCCGCGUGGGGGAAUGAAGGUCUUCGGAUUGUAAACCCCUGUCAUGUGGGAGCAAAUUAAAAAGAUAGUACCACAAGAGGAAGAGACGGCUAACUCUGUGCCAGCAGCCGCGGUAAGACAGAGGUCUCAAGCGUUGUUCGGAAUCACUGGGCGUAAAGCGUGCGUAGGCUGUUUCGUAAGUAGUGUGUGAAAGGCGCGGGCUCAACCCGCGGACGGCACAUGAUACUGCGAGACUAGAGUAAGGGAGGGGGAAGCGGAAUUCUUGGUGUAGCAGUGAAAUGCGUAGAUAUCGAGAGGAACACUCGUGGCGAAGGCGGGUUCCUGGACAUUAACUGACGCUGAGGCGCGAAGGCCAGGGGAGCGAAAGGGAUUAGAUACCCUUGUAGUC
Molecule: ribosomal RNA, 446 nt
Filed under: uncultured bacterium
Lineage: Bacteria
Description: partial 16S ribosomal RNA
Rfam family: Bacterial small subunit ribosomal RNA
Source: RNAcentral